AGAGUUUGAUCAUGGCUCAGAUUGAACGCUGGCGGCAGGCCUAACACAUGCAAGUCGAACGGUAACAGGAAGCAGCUUGCUGCUUCGCUGACGAGUGGCGGACGGGUGAGUAAUGUCUGGGAAGCUGCCUGAUGGAGGGGGAUAACUACUGGAAACGGUAGCUAAUACCGCAUAAUGUCGCAAGACCAAAGAGGGGGACCUUCGGGCCUCUUGCCAUCGGAUGUGCCCAGAUGGGAUUAGCUUGUUGGUGGGGUAACGGCUCACCAAGGCGACGAUCCCUAGCUGGUCUGAGAGGAUGACCAGCCACACUGGAACUGAGACACGGUCCAGACUCCUACGGGAGGCAGCAGUGGGGAAUAUUGCACAAUGGGCGCAAGCCUGAUGCAGCCAUGCCGCGUGUAUGAAGAAGGCCUUCGGGUUGUAAAGUACUUUCAGCGGGGAGGAAGGGAGUAAAGUUAAUACCUUUGCUCAUUGACGUUACCCGCAGAAGAAGCACCGGCUAACUCCGUGCCAGCAGCCGCGGUAAUACGGAGGGUGCAAGCGUUAAUCGGAAUUACUGGGCGUAAAGCGCACGCAGGCGGUUUGUUAAGUCAGAUGUGAAAUCCCCGGGCUCAACCUGGGAACUGCAUCUGAUACUGGCAAGCUUGAGUCUCGUAGAGGGGGGUAGAAUUCCAGGUGUAGCGGUGAAAUGCGUAGAGAUCUGGAGGAAUACCGGUGGCGAAGGCGGCCCCCUGGACGAAGACUGACGCUCAGGUGCGAAAGCGUGGGGAGCAAACAGGAUUAGAUACCCUGGUAGUCCACGCCGUAAACGAUGUCGACUUGGAGGUUGUGCCCUUGAGGCGUGGCUUCCGGAGCUAACGCGUUAAGUCGACCGCCUGGGGAGUACGGCCGCAAGGUUAAAACUCAAAUGAAUUGACGGGGGCCCGCACAAGCGGUGGAGCAUGUGGUUUAAUUCGAUGCAACGCGAAGAACCUUACCUGGUCUUGACAUCCACGGAAGUUUUCAGAGAUGAGAAUGUGCCUUCGGGAACCGUGAGACAGGUGCUGCAUGGCUGUCGUCAGCUCGUGUUGUGAAAUGUUGGGUUAAGUCCCGCAACGAGCGCAACCCUUAUCCUUUGUUGCCAGCGGUCCGGCCGGGAACUCAAAGGAGACUGCCAGUGAUAAACUGGAGGAAGGUGGGGAUGACGUCAAGUCAUCAUGGCCCUUACGACCAGGGCUACACACGUGCUACAAUGGCGCAUACAAAGAGAAGCGACCUCGCGAGAGCAAGCGGACCUCAUAAAGUGCGUCGUAGUCCGGAUUGGAGUCUGCAACUCGACUCCAUGAAGUCGGAAUCGCUAGUAAUCGUGGAUCAGAAUGCUACGGUGAGUACGUUCCCGGGCCUUGUACACACCGCCCGUCACACCAUGGGAGUGGGUUGCAAAAGAAGUAGGUAGCUUAACCUUCGGGAGGGCGCUUACCACUUUGUGAUUCAUGACUGGGGUGAAGUCGGAACAAGGUA
Molecule: ribosomal RNA, 1500 nt
Filed under: metagenome
Description: bacterial SSU rRNA
Rfam family: Bacterial small subunit ribosomal RNA
Source: RNAcentral